Molecule: ribosomal RNA, 497 nt
Filed under: uncultured bacterium
Lineage: Bacteria
Description: partial 16S ribosomal RNA
Rfam family: Bacterial small subunit ribosomal RNA
Source: RNAcentral
GAUGAACGCUGGCGGCGUGCCUAAUACAUGCAAGUCGAGCGAACGGACGCGAAGCUUGCUUUUCUGAUGUUAGCGGCGGACGGGUGAGUAACAUGUGGAUAACCUACCUAUCAGACUGGGAUAAUUACGGGAAACCGGAGCUAAUACCGGAUAAUAUCUUGAACCGCAUGGUUCAAAAGUGAAAGACGGUCUUGCUGUCACUUAUCGAUGGAUCCGCGCUGCAUUAGCUAGUUGGUAAGGUAACGGCUUACCAAGGCAACGAUGCAUAACCGACCUGAGAGACGGGUCGGCGGCACUGGAGCGUGGACGCGGUCAAUGCGACUACGAGACGCAGCAGUAGGGAAUGUGCCGCAGUAGGCGGGAGCCUUGCAGAACGGCGGGGCGUGAGUGGUGAAAGUGUUGGGUGCGGGAAGCUCUGUUAUGAGUGAAAAACAGAUGUGGAAUUAGCCGUAGACAGCGUGACGGUACCGGAUCAAGAAGCCACGGCUAACUACGUG